Molecule: ribosomal RNA, 965 nt
Filed under: uncultured Verrucomicrobiota bacterium
Lineage: Bacteria; Pseudomonadati; Verrucomicrobiota
Description: bacterial SSU rRNA
Rfam family: Bacterial small subunit ribosomal RNA
Source: RNAcentral
UUUCACAAUGGGGGAAACCCUGAUGGAGCGACGCCGCGUGGAGGAUGAAGGCCCUUGGGUUGUAAACUCCUGUMAUAAGGGAACAAGAAAGURAUAGUACCUUAARARGAAGARACGGCUAACUCUGUGCCAGCAGCCGCGGUAAUACARARGUCUCAAGCVUUGUUCGGAUUCAUUGGGCGUAAAGGGUGCGCAGGCUGUGUGGUUAGUCAGGUGUGAMAUUCAVAGGCUUAACCUCUAAACUGCACUUGAWACUGCCAUGCUAGARGACUGUAGAGGABAUUGGMAUUCACGGUGUAGCAGUGAAAUGCGUAGAUAUCGUGAGGAAGACCAGUGGCGAAGGCGAAUCUCUGGUCAGUUCCUGACGCUCAUGCACGAAGGCUAGGGGAGCAAACGGGAUUAGAUACCCCGGUAGUCCUAGCAGUAAACGUUGCACGUUUGGUGUGGGAGGAUUCGACCCCUUCCGUGCCGGAGCUAACGCGUUAAACGUGCCGCCUGGGAAGUACGGUCGCAAGAUUAAAACCUAAAGAAAUUGACGGGGGCCCGCACAAGCGGUGGAGUAUGUGGCUUAAUUCGAUGCAACGCGAAGAACCUUACCUGGCCUUGACAUGCAUCUUUAAGUCGGUGAAAGCCAGCGAGCCUCGCAAGAGGDKAUUUGCACAGGUGCUGCAUGGCUGUCGUCAGCUCGUGUCGUGAGAUGUUGGGUUAAKUCCCGCAACGAGUGCAACCCCUGUGAACUGUUGCCACUCUAGCUUCGGCUAGAAGCACUCGGUUCAGACUGCCCUGUGAAACGGGGAGGAAGGUGGGGAUGACGUCAAGUCAGCAUGGUCCUUACGGCCAGGGCUGCACACGUACUACAAUGCCCAGAACAAAAUGAACCGAUACCGCGAGGUGGAGGAAAUCUCUAAAUCUGGGCCCAGUUCGGAUUGAAGGCUGCAACUCGCCUUCAUGAAGUUGGAAUCGCU